Molecule: ribosomal RNA, 253 nt
Filed under: uncultured bacterium
Lineage: Bacteria
Description: partial 16S ribosomal RNA
Rfam family: Bacterial small subunit ribosomal RNA
Source: RNAcentral
UACGAAGGGGGCUAGCGUUGUUCGGGAUUACUGGGCGUAAAGCGCGCGCAGGCGGUUCUUCAAGUCAGAGGUGAGAGCCCCGAGCUCAACUCGGGAACUGCCUUUGAGACUGGGGGACUAGGGUACGGGAGAGGUGAGUGGAAUUCCGAGUGUAGAGGUGAAAUUCGUAGAUAUUCGGAAGAACACCAGUGGCGAAGGCGGCUCACUGGCCCGUUACCGACGCUCAGGCGCGACAGCGUGGGGAGCAAACAGG